Molecule: ribosomal RNA, 465 nt
Filed under: uncultured Klebsiella sp.
Lineage: Bacteria; Pseudomonadati; Pseudomonadota; Gammaproteobacteria; Enterobacterales; Enterobacteriaceae
Description: bacterial SSU rRNA
Rfam family: Bacterial small subunit ribosomal RNA
Source: RNAcentral
CCUACGGGUGGCUGCAGUGGGGAAUAUUGCACAAUGGGCGCAAGCCUGAUGCAGCCAUGCCGCGUGUGUGAAGAAGGCCUUCGGGUUGUAAAGCACUUUCAGCGGGGAGGAAGGCGGUGAGGUUAAUAACCUCAUCGAUUGACGUUACCCGCAGAAGAAGCACCGGCUAACUCCGUGCCAGCAGCCGCGGUAAUACGGAGGGUGCAAGCGUUAAUCGGAAUUACUGGGCGUAAAGCGCACGCAGGCGGUCUGUCAAGUCGGAUGUGAAAUCCCCGGGCUCAACCUGGGAACUGCAUUCGAAACCGGCAGGCUAGAGUCUUGUAGAGGGGGGUAGAAUUCCAGGUGUAGCGGUGAAAUGCGUAGAGAUCUGGAGGAAUACCGGUGGCGAAGGCGGCCCCCUGGACAAAGACUGACGCUCAGGUGCGAAAGCGUGGGGAGCAAACAGGAUUAGAUACCCGGGUAGUC